UACGUAGGGUGCGAGCGUUGUCCGGAAUUAUUGGGCGUAAAGGGCUCGUAGGCGGUCUGUCGCGUCGGGAGUGAAAACUCAGGGCUUAACCCUGAGCCUGCUUCCGAUACGGGCAGACUAGAGGUAUGCAGGGGAGAACGGAAUUCCUGGUGUAGCGGUGGAAUGCGCAGAUAUCAGGAAGAACACCGGUGGCGAAGGCGGCCCACUGGAUCGGUACUGACGCUGAGGAGCGAAAGCCAGGGGAGCAAACGGG
Molecule: ribosomal RNA, 253 nt
Filed under: uncultured bacterium
Lineage: Bacteria
Description: partial 16S ribosomal RNA
Rfam family: Bacterial small subunit ribosomal RNA
Source: RNAcentral